RNAcentral lists this unclassified non-coding RNA (1060 nucleotides) under Hevea brasiliensis (rubber tree). Lineage: Eukaryota; Viridiplantae; Streptophyta; Magnoliopsida; Malpighiales; Euphorbiaceae. The record is from RNAcentral.
GUGUGUGUGUGUGUGUGUGUUUGGCAUUUGUCUUAUGUGAGUAAGAUGGUAGCUAUGGACAACAUAUUCCCCCCAUACGUUUCCCUUUUGUCAUAAGCAAGCAUGGAUUCAUAAAUAAAUUAAAGGUUAUUGACAAAAAAAGUCCAAACUUUUGCUCUUAUUUACAAUUAUGGUCAAUCCUUUUAAAAUUUUAAUUAUAUACACAACUUGUCAUAUUGGUGUCAAUUAUAGCCAAAGUUAGAAGAGCACAAGCAAUAACUCCCAAAAUUGUUAACAUGGCGUAUAAAAACUUCAGAGAAAUAUAUUGUGAAGGAAGGAGUAGAGGGAGAAGACAUAGUGUUUGGGAAAUGAUGUAAUCUUUAAUAUGAUUGUUAAAGUUUGGAAAAUGACUUUUAUGACAAGGGAAAGUCAUUUUCUUUCAAAAUGUUUUAGUUUUCCUACUGAUAUACCAUAUAAUAUGCUAACAUGAAAAACAUCAAUAAAAUAUAAAUCAUGUUAGCAAUUUGAGAAGUUCAGCAUUUGCAAUUCCAAAUUUAGCUACAACUGAUGCUAACACGAUAGGUUAUGUAUAUAAUUGAUAAAAUUAAAUUGAUCAUUCAUAAUUCCAAAUUUGAGUGAACAAUCUAGACCUGGCCAAUGGCCGAUUCCAGAUCGGAAAUGGUCAAACCUGUCUAUGACUCAAACCAUAAAAGAAUCGGAUUGGAAUUGAACUAGAACUGAACCGGAUGGUUUCGGUCUGAACCACCUUUUUUAUAUUUAAAAAAAAUCUGAAAAAAAUUAUAAACCUUUCGAUUUGGACCUAGAUUGAACCAGAACCGAAACCAAAACCGUAGGGGUUCAUGGUUUCGAUUUCGAUUCACCCUUUUAGGUGAACCGGAACCGGCCCAGUGGCCAGGUCUAGAACACACUUCAAUAAUUUCCAGUCUCUGAUUCCAUAAAAUUAUCAUUGUACUUUUCAAAUAAUGAAAUCAAGGUGGGAUAGGGCAAUGAAGUGUAUAGGAAGAUUGUCUAAGCAUUAUGCACUGUUGCAGUGUAAAUAAACUCAACUCAACUCAACUCA